RNAcentral lists this small RNA (28 nucleotides) under Bombyx mori (domestic silkworm). Its description in RNAcentral is "ovarian small RNA-24199". The record is from RNAcentral. Lineage: Eukaryota; Metazoa; Arthropoda; Insecta; Lepidoptera; Bombycidae.
UAUUGACUGGUUUGAUAGGUGCUACUUU